ACUGGAGUUUGAUCCUGGCUCAGAUUGAACGCUGGCGGAAUGCUUUACACAUGCAAGUCGAACGGUAGAGGGGGCAACCCCUUGAGAGUGGCGAACGGGUGAGUAAUAUAUCGGAACGUGCCCAGUCGUGGGGGAUAACGUAGUGAAAACUUACGCUAAUACCGCAUACGAUCUAAGGAUGAAAGCGGGGAUCGCAAGACCUCGCGCGACUGGAGCGGCCGAUAUCAGA
Molecule: ribosomal RNA, 229 nt
Filed under: uncultured Limnohabitans sp.
Lineage: Bacteria; Pseudomonadati; Pseudomonadota; Betaproteobacteria; Burkholderiales; Comamonadaceae
Description: partial 16S ribosomal RNA
Rfam family: Bacterial small subunit ribosomal RNA
Source: RNAcentral